GACGAACGCUGGCGGCGUGCUUAACACAUGCAAGUCGAGCGGUAAGGCCCUUUCGGGGGUGCACGAGCGGCGAACGGGUGAGUAACACGUGGGUGACCUGCCCUCAGCUCUGGGAUAAGCCUGGGGAAAACCGGGUCUAAUACUGGAUAUGACUCCAUGACGCAUGUUGUGGGGUGGAAAGCCUUGUGCGGCUGAGGAUGGGCCCGCGGCCUAUCAGCUUGUUGGUGGGGUGANGGCCUACCAAGGCGACGACGGGUAGCCGGCCUGAGAGGGCGACCGGCCACACUGGGACUGAGACACGGCCCAGACUCCUACGGGAGGCAGCAGUGGGGAAUCUUGCGCAAUGGGCGAAAGCCU
Molecule: ribosomal RNA, 357 nt
Filed under: uncultured bacterium
Lineage: Bacteria
Description: bacterial SSU rRNA
Rfam family: Bacterial small subunit ribosomal RNA
Source: RNAcentral